RNAcentral lists this ribosomal RNA (482 nucleotides) under uncultured bacterium. RNAcentral describes it as "partial 16S ribosomal RNA". It matches the Rfam family "Bacterial small subunit ribosomal RNA", at positions 28 to 523 of the family's 1533-position model. The record is from RNAcentral.
GACGAACGCUGGCGGCGUGCUUAACACAUGCAAGUCGAACGAUGAAACCUAGCUUGCUAGGUCGAUUAGUGGCGAACGGGUGAGUAACACGUGACUAACCUGCCCCUUUCUCUGGGAUAACGCUCCGAAAGGAGUGCUAAUACCGGAUACUCACACCGAGGCACAUGCCUUGGUGUGGAGAGUUUUUCGGAAAGGGAUGGAGUCGCGGCCUAUCAGCUUGUUGGUGAGGUAACGGCUCACCAAGGCGACGACGGGUAGCCGGCCUGAGAGGGGGACCGGCCACACUGGGACUGAGACACGGCCCAGACUCCUACGGGAGGCAGCAGUGGGGAAUAUUGCACAAUGGGCGCAAGCCUAAUGCAGCGACGCCGCGUGAGGGAUGAAGGUCUUCGGAUUGUAAACCUCUUUCAGUAGGGACGAAGCGAAAGUGACGGUACCUAAAGAAGAAGCACCGGCUAACUACGUGCCAGCCGCCGCCGUAA